This 484-nucleotide ribosomal RNA is filed under the name uncultured bacterium. RNAcentral describes it as "partial 16S ribosomal RNA". It matches the Rfam family "Bacterial small subunit ribosomal RNA", at positions 29 to 507 of the family's 1533-position model. The record is from RNAcentral.
AUUGAACGCUGGCGGCAUGCUUUACACAUGCAAGUCGAACGGCAGCACGGGGGCAGCCCUGGUGGCGCGUGGCGCACGGGUGAGUAAUACAUCGGAACGUGCCCGGCCGCGGGGGAUUACGUAGCGAAAGUUAUGCUAAUACCGCAUACGAUCUGCGGAUGAAAGCGGGGGACCUUCGGGCCUCGCGCGAUCGGAGCGGCCGAUGUCAGAUUAGGUAGUUGGUGGGGUAAAGGCCUACCAAGCCGACGAUCUGUAGCUGGCCUGAGAGGACGACCAGCCACACUGGGACUGAGACACGGCCCAGACUCCUACGGGAGGCAGCAGUGGGGAAUUUUGGACAAUGGGCGCAAGCCUGAUCCAGCCAUUCCGCGUACAAGACGAAGGCCUUCGGGUUGUAAACUGCUUUUGUGCGGGACGAAAAGGCUCUGGCUAAUACCUGGGGCUCAUGACGGUACCGUAAGAAUAAGCACCGGCUAACUACGUG